GACGAACGCUGGCGGCGUGCUUAACACAUGCAAGUCGUACGGUAAGGCCCUUUCAGGGGUACACGAGUGGCGAACGGGUGAGUAACACGUGAGUAACCUGCCCACAACUUUGGGAUAACGCUAGGAAACUGGUGCUAAUACUGGAUAUGUGCUCCUGCUGCAUGGUGGGGGUUGGAAAGCUCCGGCGGUUGUGGAUGGACUCGCGGCCUAUCAGCUUGUUGGUGGGGUAGUGGCCUACCAAGGCGGCGACGGGUAGCCGGCCUGAGAGGGUGACCGGCCACAUUGGGACUGAGAUACGGCCCAGACUCCUACGGGAGGCAGCAGUGGGGAAUAUUGCACAAUGGGCGCAAGCCUGAUGCAGCAACGCCGCGUGCGGGAUGACGGCCUUCGGGUUGUAAACCGCUUUCAGCAGGGACGAAGCUUUUUGUGACGGUACCUGCAGAAGAAGCACCGGCUAACUACGUG
Molecule: ribosomal RNA, 465 nt
Filed under: uncultured bacterium
Lineage: Bacteria
Description: partial 16S ribosomal RNA
Rfam family: Bacterial small subunit ribosomal RNA
Source: RNAcentral